RNAcentral lists this ribosomal RNA (977 nucleotides) under uncultured bacterium. RNAcentral describes it as "bacterial SSU rRNA". It matches the Rfam family "Bacterial small subunit ribosomal RNA", at positions 504 to 1483 of the family's 1533-position model. The record is from RNAcentral.
UGUGUCAGCAGCCGCGGUAAUACGUAGGUGGCGAGCGUUGUCCGGAUUUACUGGGCGUAAAGGAUGCGUAGGCGGAUAUUUAAGUGAGAUGUGAAAUACCCGAGCUUAACUUGGGUGCUGCAUUUCAAACUGGAUAUCUAGAGUGUGGGAGAGGAGAAUGGAAUUCCUAGUGUAGCGGUGAAAUGCGUAGAGAUUAGGAAGAACACCAGUGGCGAAGGCGAUUCUCUGGACCAUAACUGACGCUGAGGCAUGAAAGCGUGGGUAGCAAACAGGAUUAGAUACCCUGGUAGUCCACGCCGUAAACGAUGAGUACUAGGUGUAGGAGGGUCCAACCUUCUGUGCCGCAGUUAACACAAUAAGUACUCCGCCUGGGAAGUACGAUCGCAAGAUUAAAACUCAAAGGAAUUGACGGGGGCCCGCACAAGCAGCGGAGCAUGUGGUUUAAUUCGAAGCAACGCGAAGAACCUUACCUGGACUUGACAUCCCCUGAAUAGUGCAGAGAUGCAUGAAGCCCUUCGGGGCAGGGAGACAGGUGGUGCAUGGUUGUCGUCAGCUCGUGUCGUGAGAUGUUAGGUUAAGUCCUGCAACGAGCGCAACCCUUAUCAUUAGUUGCUACCAUUAAGUUGAGCACUCUAGUGAGACUGCCCGGGUUAACCGGGAGGAAGGUGGGGAUGACGUCAAAUCAUCAUGCCCCUUAUGUCCAGGGCUACACACGUGCUACAAUGGUGAGUACAGAGAGAUGCAAGACCGCGAGGUGGAGCCAAACUCAAAAACUCAUCCCAGUUCGGAUUGUAGGCUGCAACUCGCCUACAUGAAGCCGGAGUUGCUAGUAAUCGCGAAUCAGAAUGUCGCGGUGAAUACGUUCCCGGGCCUUGUACACACCGCCCGUCACACCAUGAGAGCUGGCAACACCCGAAGUCCGUGAGGUAACCUGUAAAGGAGCCAGCGGCCGAAGGUGGGGUUAGUGAUUGGGGUGA